UGGGCUGUUCGCCCAUUAAAGCGGUACGCGAGCUGGGUUUAGAACGUCGUGAGACAGUUCGGUCCCUAUCUGCCGUGGGCGCAGGAGACUUGAGAGGAUCUGCCCUUAGUACGAGAGGACCGGGGUGGACGAACCUCUAGUGUUCCGGCUGUCCCGCCAGGGGCACCGCCGGGUAGCUAUGUUCGGCAGGGAUAAACGCUGAAAGCAUCUAAGCGUGAAGCCCACCUCAAGAUGAGGUCUCCCGUGGCGCAAGCCACCUGAAGACCCCCGGAAGAUGACCGGGUUGAUAGGCCGCGAGUGUACGCCCCGGAAGGGGCUCAGCUGAGCGGUACUAAUCGGUCGUGCGGCUUGACCCCAU
RNAcentral lists this ribosomal RNA (358 nucleotides) under Candidatus Methylomirabilota bacterium. RNAcentral describes it as "candidate division NC10 bacterium (sediment metagenome) partial 23S ribosomal RNA". It matches the Rfam family "Bacterial large subunit ribosomal RNA", at positions 2572 to 2925 of the family's 2925-position model. Lineage: Bacteria; Methylomirabilota (SeqCode). The record is from RNAcentral.